This 253-nucleotide ribosomal RNA is filed under the name uncultured bacterium. RNAcentral describes it as "partial 16S ribosomal RNA". It matches the Rfam family "Archaeal small subunit ribosomal RNA", at positions 474 to 727 of the family's 1478-position model. The record is from RNAcentral.
UACCCGCAGCACAAGUGGUGGUCAUUAUUAUUGGGCCUAAAGCGUCCGUAGCUGGCGUGUUAGAUGCCUGGGUAAAUCGAUGCGCUCAACGCAUCGACUUCCGGGUAGACCGGCACGCUCGAGACCGGGAGAGGUGUAGGGUACUCGGGGGGUAGGGGUAAAAUCCUGUAAUCCUCCGGGGACGACCAGUGGCGAAGGCGCUACACUAGAACGGCUCUGACAGUGAGGGACGAAGCCCUGGGGCGCAAACCGG